CGGCGUGCCUAAUACAUGCAAGUCGAGCGAACCGAUGAAGAGCUGCUCUUCAAAGGUGAGCGGCGGACGGGUGAGUAACACGUGGGCAACCUGCCUGCAAGAUCGGGAUAACUCCGGGAAACCGGGGCUAAUACCGGAUAAUGCAUUUCGCUGCAUGGCGGAAUGCUAAAAGGCGGCUUCGGCUGUCACUUGCAGAUGGGCCCGCGGCGCAUUAGCUAGUUGGGGAGGUAACGGCUCCCCAAGGCGACGAUGCGUAGCCGACCUGAGAGGGUGAUCGGCCACACUGGGACUGAGACACGGCCCAGACUCCUACGGGAGGCAGCAGUAGGGAAUUUUCCGCAAUGGGCGCAAGCCUGACGGAGCAACGCCCGCGUGAGUGAGGACGGCUUUCGGGUUGUAAAACUCUGUUCUUCGGGAAGAACGGCGGUCGGGUGAAUAGCCCGAUUGCGUGACGGUACCGAAGGAGAAAGCCCCGGCUAACUACGUGCCAGCAGCCGC
Molecule: ribosomal RNA, 498 nt
Filed under: uncultured bacterium
Lineage: Bacteria
Description: bacterial SSU rRNA
Rfam family: Bacterial small subunit ribosomal RNA
Source: RNAcentral